Molecule: ribosomal RNA, 254 nt
Filed under: uncultured bacterium
Lineage: Bacteria
Description: partial 16S ribosomal RNA
Rfam family: Bacterial small subunit ribosomal RNA
Source: RNAcentral
UACGUAGGGGGCGAGCGUUGUCCGGAUUUAUUGGGCGUAAAGAGCUCGUAGGCGGUUUGGCAAGUCGGGUGUGAAAACUCCGGGCUCAACUCGGAGACGCCACUCGAUACUACCAUGACUCGAGUCCGGUAGGGGAGUGCGGAAUUCCUGGUGUAGCGGUGAAAUGCGCAGAUAUCAGGAGGAACACCGGUGGCGAAGGCGGCACUCUGGGCCGGUACUGACGCUGAGGAGCGAAAGCGUGGGGAGCGAACAGG